GGUUUCCCUUUACGAAUUGUAGUUUAAAGAAGUGUUUUCUGUUGAGGUUUUGGUAAAAGUUCUUUGGAAUAGGACAUCAUAGAGGGUGAGAAUCCCGUAUUUGACCUUUACUUUCAACUUUGUGAUACACUUUCAAAGAGUCGGAUUGUUUGGGAAUGCAGUCCAAAAUGGGUGGUAAAUUUCAUCUAAAGCUAAAUAUUGGCGAGAGACCGAUAGCGAACAAGUACCGUGAGGGAAAGAUGAAAAGAACUUUGAAAAGAGAGUUAAACAGUACGUGAAAUUGUCAAAAGGGAAGCGUUUGACACCAGUGUUGUUUUUCUGAAAAUCAAUUAAGGAACUGUUUAUGCUAAGCUGUUUAGACUUUAUCAGCUAUCUGUUUAGUUUUGAGCUUUUCUUU
RNAcentral lists this ribosomal RNA (397 nucleotides) under uncultured Neocallimastigomycetes. RNAcentral's name for it is "eukaryotic LSU rRNA". It matches the Rfam family "Eukaryotic large subunit ribosomal RNA", at positions 127 to 521 of the family's 3401-position model. Lineage: Eukaryota; Fungi; Neocallimastigomycota; Neocallimastigomycetes. The record is from RNAcentral.